RNAcentral lists this ribosomal RNA (506 nucleotides) under uncultured bacterium. RNAcentral describes it as "partial 16S ribosomal RNA". It matches the Rfam family "Bacterial small subunit ribosomal RNA", at positions 30 to 523 of the family's 1533-position model. The record is from RNAcentral.
AUUGAACGCUGGCGGCAGGCCUAACACAUGCAAGUCGGACGGUAGCACAGAGGGGCUUGCUCCUCGGGUGACGAGUGGCGUACGGGUGAGUAAUGUCUGGGGAUCUGCCCGAUAGAGGGGGAUAACCACUGGAAACGGUUGCUAAUACCGCAUAACGUCGCAAGACCAAAGAGGGGGACCUUCGGGCCUCUCACUAUCGGAUGAACCCAGAUGGGAAUAGCUAGUAGGCGGGGUAACGGCCCACCUAGGCGACGAUCCCUAGCUGGUCUGAGAGGAUGACCAGCCACACUGGAACUGAGACACGGUCCAGACUCCUACGGGAGGCAGCAGUGGGGAAUAUUGCACAAUGGGCGCAAGCCUGAUGCAGCCAUGCCGCGUGUAUGAAGAAGGCCUUCGGGUUGUAAAGUACUUUCAGCGGGGAGGAAGGCGAUGUGGUUAAUAACCGCAUUGAUUGACGUUACCCGCAGAAGAAGCACCGGCUAACUCCGUGCCAGCCGCCGCAGUAA